Molecule: unclassified non-coding RNA, 200 nt
Filed under: Pseudosigmoidea sp.
Lineage: Eukaryota; Fungi; Ascomycota; Dothideomycetes; Venturiales; Sympoventuriaceae
Description: partial internal transcribed spacer 2
Source: RNAcentral
UUAAGUUCAGCGGGUAUCCCCGCCUGAUCCGAGGCCAAACCUUGUAAAAUUUAGGGGGUCAAUCGGCGACCCGCCCAUUGGACACGCGGAACGAGGGAAAAAAAUUCUUGCUACGCUCGCGGCCAGUAGGGGGCGCCUAAAGGUUUGGGGCCUGACGGGUAUGUCAUGGCCCAACAUCAAGCAAGGCUUGGGGGGGUGUA